AGGAGUCCGCCCGGCGGCACAGGAGCGGCCUUCGGGCGGCCCACUCCCGGACUGCACCCGGUUACGGGUCCGUGGUGCCGAAUUCGCUUCGGACAAGUACCGUGAGCCUCUCGGUUGGGUUUCCGCAGCUUCCACUUUCACGGGGUGACCGCGGAAACACUCCCAUCGAUACAGGGGAAGGGAGGAGGGAGAGAAACACUGAUCGGCACUGGAGCAUUGGCUGCCUCUCAGACGCUCCCGGACCGGGGACCGAACCCACAACCUAGGUCUGUGGCCUGACCGGGACUGGAACCAGGGACUUCCGUUUUGCGGGAGGAUGCCCAGCCCACUGACCCACACGGGAUCGCAUUUCCGGCGGAACUGCCUGCAGCCACGUCCCCGUCUCGGGCUCUGCUUUCCGGGACAGCAGACGGGACAGGCGUGGGCCAUUGGAGACAGAGAGAGAGAUCACCCAAGCAGGCUCCCGAGUCUGCAGGGAUGUCAUAAAUGCAGCGGGUGCUUAUUAACACAAAGUGGCGGCCCGAGGUGGUAACUGGGCCGUCCAGUGUGGGACUGUUUACAUCACAUUUGAAUGAAUUA
This is a long non-coding RNA of Phyllostomus hastatus (greater spear-nosed bat), 579 nucleotides long. RefSeq lists it as uncharacterized. NCBI's taxonomy places the organism in Eukaryota, Metazoa, Chordata, Mammalia, Chiroptera, Phyllostomidae. The record is from RefSeq and is a predicted model, not a curated record. The transcript is spliced from 3 exons.